CGGGUCGUGGCGCAGAUGGGCAGCGCGCUCGCCUUGGGAGCGGGAGGGCGCCGGUUCGAAUCCGGCCGACCCGA
This 74-nucleotide transfer RNA is filed under the name Actinoplanes sp. SE50/110. Its description in RNAcentral is "tRNA-Pro (TGG) (tRNA-Pro-TGG-2-1)". It matches the Rfam family "tRNA". Rfam says of the family: Transfer RNA (tRNA) molecules are approximately 80 nucleotides in length. Their secondary structure includes four short double-helical elements and three loops (D, anti-codon, and T loops). Lineage: Bacteria; Bacillati; Actinomycetota; Actinomycetes; Micromonosporales; Micromonosporaceae. The record is from Rfam by way of RNAcentral. RNAcentral also lists the same sequence under 1 other name.